CCUACGGGUCGCACCAGUGGGGAAUGAUGCACAAUGGGCGCAAGCCUGAUGCAGCCAUGCCGCGUGUGUGAAGAAGGCCUUCGGGUUGUAAAGCACUUUCAGCGGGGAGGAAGGGAGUAAAGUUAAUACCUUUGCUCAUUGACGUUACCCGCAGAAGAAGCACCGGCUAACUCCGUGCCAGCAGCCGCGGUAAUACGGAGGGUGCAAGCGUUAAUCGGAAUUACUGGGCGUAAAGCGCACGCAGGCGGUUUGUUAAGUCAGAUGUGAAAUCCCCGGGCUCAACCUGGGAACUGCAUCUGAUACUGGCAAGCUUGAGUCUCGUAGAGGGGGGUAGAAUUCCAGGUGUAGCGGUGAAAUGCGUAGAGAUCUGGAGGAAUACCGGUGGCGAAGGCGGCCCCCUGGACGAAGACUGACGCUCAGGUGCGAAAGCGUGGGGAGCAAACAGGAUUAGAUACCCGGGUAGUC
Molecule: ribosomal RNA, 465 nt
Filed under: uncultured bacterium
Lineage: Bacteria
Description: bacterial SSU rRNA
Rfam family: Bacterial small subunit ribosomal RNA
Source: RNAcentral